Molecule: ribosomal RNA, 429 nt
Filed under: uncultured bacterium
Lineage: Bacteria
Description: bacterial SSU rRNA
Rfam family: Bacterial small subunit ribosomal RNA
Source: RNAcentral
UGCAAGUCGACGGGCUCUUCGGAGCAAGUGGCGGACGGGUGAGUAACGCGUGCAGAAUGUGCCUUCAGGAUGGGGAUAACAAUAGGAAACUAAUGCUAAGACCCAAUGUGCCUUAAGAGGUGAAAAAUGAAAAUUGCCUGAAGAGGAGCUCGCGUCUGAUUAGCUAGUUGGGGUGGUAAAAGCGCACCAAGGCAACGAUCAGUAGCUGGUCUGAGAGGAUGAGCAGCCACACUGGGACUGAGACACGGCCCAGACUCCUACGGGAGGCAGCAGUGGGGAAUUUUCCGCAAUGGGCGAAAGCCUGACGGAGCAAUACCGCGUGAGGGAGGAAGGCUCUUGGGUUGUAAACCUCAAAACUUAGGGAAGAAAAAAAUGACGGUACCUAAUCUAAGCAUCGGCUAACUCCGUGCCAGCAGCCGCGGUAAUACG